This 79-nucleotide non-coding RNA is filed under the name uncultured Prevotella sp. The record is from RNAcentral. Lineage: Bacteria; Pseudomonadati; Bacteroidota; Bacteroidia; Bacteroidales; Prevotellaceae.
AAAUAAGGGGUGCUUCACGAUUGUGUUGCUGAGAUUAUACCCAUAGAACCUGACGCAGAUAAUGCUGCCGCAGGGAUUG